GGCGGCGUGCCUAACACAUGCAAGUCGAACGGAGAAUUUUAUUUCGGUAGAAUUCUUAGUGGCGAACGGGUGAGUAACGCGUAGGCAACCUGCCCUUUAGACGGGGACAACAUUCCGAAAGGAGUGCUAAUACCGGAUGUGAUCAUCGUGCCGCAUGGCAGGAUGAAGAAAGAUGGCCUCUACAAGUAAGCUAUCGCUAAAGGAUGGGCCUGCGUCUGAUUAGCUAGUUGGUAGUGUAACGGACUACCAAGGCGAUGAUCAGUAGCCGGUCUGAGAGGAUGAACGGCCACAUUGGGACUGAGACACGGCCCAAACUCCUACGGGAGGCAGCAGUGGGGAAUCUUCCGCAAUGGACGAAAGUCUGACGGAGCAACGCCGCGUGAGUGAUGAAGGAUUUCGGUCUGUAAAGCUCUGUUGUUUAUGACGAACGUGCAGUGUGUGAACAAUGCAUUGCAAUGACGGUAGUAAACGAGGAAGCCACGGCUAACUACGUGCCAGCAGCCGCGGUAAUACGUAGGUGGCGAGCGUUGUCCGGAAUUAUUGGGCGUAAAGAGCAUGUAGGCGGCUUAAUAAGUCGAGCGUGAAAAUGCGGGGCUCAACCCCGUAUGGCGCUGGAAACUGUUAGGCUUGAGUGCAGGAGAGGAAAGGGGAAUUCCCAGUGUAGCGGUGAAAUGCGUAGAUAUUGGGAGGAACACCAGUGGCGAAGGCGCCUUUCUGGACUGUGUCUGACGCUGAGAUGCGAAAGCCAGGGUAGCGAACGGGAUUAGAUACCCCGGUAGUCCUGGCCGUAAACGAUGGGUACUAGGUGUAGGAGGUAUCGACCCCUUCUGUGCCGGAGUUAACGCAAUAAGUACCCCGCCUGGGGAGUACGGCCGCAAGGUUGAAACUCAAAGGAAUUGACGGGGGCCCGCACAAGCGGUGGAGUAUGUGGUUUAAUUCGACGCAACGCGAAGAACCUUACCAAGGCUUGACAUUGAUUGAACGCUCUAGAGAUAGAGAUUUCCCUUCGGGGACAAGAAA
This 1020-nucleotide ribosomal RNA is filed under the name human gut metagenome. Its description in RNAcentral is "bacterial SSU rRNA". It matches the Rfam family "Bacterial small subunit ribosomal RNA", at positions 38 to 1033 of the family's 1533-position model. The record is from RNAcentral.